RNAcentral lists this ribosomal RNA (425 nucleotides) under uncultured bacterium. RNAcentral describes it as "partial 16S ribosomal RNA". It matches the Rfam family "Bacterial small subunit ribosomal RNA", at positions 354 to 796 of the family's 1533-position model. The record is from RNAcentral.
GUGGGGAAUCUUGCGCAAUGGGCGAAAGCCUGACGCAGCCAUGCCGCGUGGAUGAUGAAGGUCUUAGGAUUGUAAAAUCCUUUCACCGGUGAAGAUAAUGACUGUAGCCGGAGAAGAAGCCCCGGCUAACUUCGUGCCAGCAGCCGCGGUAAUACGAAGGGGGCUAGCGUUGCUCGGAUUUACUGGGCGUAAAGGGCGCGUAGGCGGACAUUUAAGUCAGGGGUGAAAUCCCGGGGCUCAACCUCGGAACUGCCUUUGAUACUGGGUGUCUUGAGUAUGAGAGAGGUGUGUGGAACUCCGAGUGUAGAGGUGAAAUUCGUAGAUAUUCGCAAGAACACCAGUGGCGAAGGCGGCUUACUGGUCCGGUUCUGACGCUGAGGCGCGAAAGCGUGGGGAGCAAACAGGAUUAGAAACCCUUGUAGUCC